This 422-nucleotide ribosomal RNA is filed under the name uncultured prokaryote. RNAcentral describes it as "bacterial SSU rRNA". It matches the Rfam family "Bacterial small subunit ribosomal RNA", at positions 355 to 774 of the family's 1533-position model. The record is from RNAcentral.
UGAGGAAUAUUGGGCAAUGGACACAAGUCUGACCCAGCCAUGCCGCGUGAAGGAUGAAGGCCCUAUGGGUUGUAAACUUCUUUUAUACGGGAAAAAACACCGGUCGUGUAUCGGUGCUGAUGGUACCGUAAGAAUAAGCAUCGGCUAACUCCGUGCCAGCAGCCGCGGUAAUACGGAGGAUGCAAGCGUUAUCCGGAUUCAUUGGGUUUAAAGGGUGCGCAGGCGGAUUAAUAAGUCAGUGGUGAAAUCCUACGGCUCAACUGUAGAACUGCCAUUGAUACUGUUAGUCUUGAGUAGUGUUGAGGUAGGCGGAAUGUGUCAUGUAGCGGUGAAAUGCUUAGAUAUGACACAGAACACCAAUCGCGAAGGCAGCUUACCAAGCAAUAACUGACGCUCAUGCACGAAAGCGUGGGGAUCAAACG